UAACGAAUAUUGGGCAAUGGGCGAAAGCCUGACCCAGCGAUGCCGCGUAUAGGAUGAAGUCCUUCGGGAUGUAAACUAUUGUCAGGGGCUAGAAAGCCGUAAGGUUGAUCAGCCCCGGAGGAAGUCACGACUAACUUCGUGCCAGCAGUCGCGGUAAUACGAAGGUGACAAGCGUUAUUCGAAAUCACUGGGCUUAAAGGGUGCGCAGGCGGAAACAUAAGUGUCUUGGGAAAACCCCCGGCUUAACCGGGGAAUUGCUCGGCAUACUGUGUUUCUUGAGGCAAGCAGGGGUGUGUGGAACUCUUGGUGGAGCGGUGGAAUGCGUAGAUAUCAAGAGGAACGCCGAAGGUGAAGACAGCACACUGGGCUUGUCCUGACGCUCAGGCACGAAAGCGUGGGGAGCAAACA
This 408-nucleotide ribosomal RNA is filed under the name uncultured prokaryote. RNAcentral describes it as "bacterial SSU rRNA". It matches the Rfam family "Bacterial small subunit ribosomal RNA", at positions 355 to 774 of the family's 1533-position model. The record is from RNAcentral.